UGGGGAAUAUUGGACAAUGGGGGCAACCCUGAUCCAGCCAUGCCGCGUGAAUGAUGAAGGCCUUCGGGUUGUAAAGUUCUUUUGGUGGGGACGAUGAUGACGGUACCCACGGAAUAAGCUCCGGCUAACUUCGUGCCAGCAGCCGCGGUAAUACGAAGGGAGCUAGCGUUGUUCGGAAUUACUGGGCGUAAAGGGCGCGUAGGCGGUUCGACAAGUCAGAUGUGAAAGCCCUGGGCUUAACCCGGGAACUGCGUUUGAUACUGUCGUGCUUGAAUUCGGGAGAGGUGAGUGGAAUUCCCAGUGUAGAGGUGAAAUUCGUAGAUAUUGGGGAGAACACCGGUGGCGAAGGCGGCUCACUGGACCGACAUUGACGCUGAGGCGCGAAAGCGUGGGUAGCAAACAG
RNAcentral lists this ribosomal RNA (403 nucleotides) under uncultured bacterium. RNAcentral describes it as "bacterial SSU rRNA". It matches the Rfam family "Bacterial small subunit ribosomal RNA", at positions 355 to 775 of the family's 1533-position model. The record is from RNAcentral.